This 484-nucleotide ribosomal RNA is filed under the name uncultured bacterium. RNAcentral's name for it is "partial 16S ribosomal RNA". It matches the Rfam family "Bacterial small subunit ribosomal RNA", at positions 30 to 507 of the family's 1533-position model. The record is from RNAcentral.
AUUGAACGCUGGCGGCAGGCCUAACACAUGCAAGUCGAGCGGAUGAAGGGAGCUUGCUCCUGGAUUCAGCGGCGGACGGGUGAGUAAUGCCUAGGAAUCUGCCUGGUAGUGGGGGAUAACGUCCGGAAACGGGCGCUAAUACCGCAUACGUCCUGAGGGAGAAAGUGGGGGAUCUUCGGACCUCACGCUAUCAGAUGAGCCUAGGUCGGAUUAGCUAGUUGGUGGGGUAAAGGCCUACCAAGGCGACGAUCCGUAACUGGUCUGAGAGGAUGAUCAGUCACACUAGAACUGAGACACGGUCCAGACUCCUACGGGAGGCAGCAGUGGGGAAUAUUGGACAGUGGGCGAAAGCCUGGUCCAGCCAUGCCGCGUGUGUGAAGAAGGUCUUCGGAUUGUAAAGCACUUUAAGUUGGGAGAAAGGGCAGUAAGUUAUUACCUUGCUGUUUUGACGUUACCAGCAGAAUAAGCACCGGCUAACUUCGUG